UGGGGAAUAUUGGACAAUGGGCGCAAGCCUGAUCCAGCAAUGCCGCGUGUGUGAAGAAGGCCUUCGGGUUGUAAAGCACUUUUAUCAGGAGCGAAACGCUGUCGGCUAAUACCCGGCGGAACUGACGGUACCUGAGGAAUAAGCACCGGCUAACUUCGUGCCAGCAGCCGCGGUAAUACGAAGGGUGCAAGCGUUAAUCGGAAUUACUGGGCGUAAAGCGUGCGUAGGCGGUUUCUUAAGUCUGCUGUGAAAUCCCCGGGCUCAACCUGGGAAUGGCAGUGGAUACUGGGAGGCUAGAGUGUGUCAGAGGGGUGGUGGAAUUCCCCGGUGUAGCGGUGAAAUGCGUAGAGAUCGGGAGGAACAUCAGUGGCGAAGGCGGCCACCUGGGACAACACUGACGCUGAGGCACGAAAGCGUGGGGAGCAAACAGGAUUAGGAUACCCUGGUAGUCCACGCCCUAAAGCGAUGCGAACUGGAUGUUGGUCUCAACUCGGAGGAUCAGUGUCGAAGCUAACGCGUUAAGUUCGCCGCCUGGGGAGUACGGUCGCAAGACUGAAACUCAAA
This 564-nucleotide ribosomal RNA is filed under the name uncultured bacterium. RNAcentral's name for it is "partial 16S ribosomal RNA". It matches the Rfam family "Bacterial small subunit ribosomal RNA", at positions 355 to 905 of the family's 1533-position model. The record is from RNAcentral.